The sequence is a regulatory RNA element, 41 nucleotides long. It matches the Rfam family "Ribosomal protein L19 leader". From Rfam's summary of the family: This family is a putative r-protein leader autoregulatory structure found in B. subtilis and other low-GC Gram-positive bacteria. It is located in the 5' untranslated regions of mRNAs encoding ribosomal protein L19 (rplS). The record is from Rfam.
ACGAUAUUCCGCUGUAAUGUUUAGAUUUACAUGAGUAUCAG